RNAcentral lists this long non-coding RNA (1050 nucleotides) under Homo sapiens (human). RNAcentral's name for it is "non-protein coding MIR100HG:32". Lineage: Eukaryota; Metazoa; Chordata; Mammalia; Primates; Hominidae. The record is from RNAcentral.
GGAAGAUGGACAGCAUCGAUACAGUUAAGCUAAUGAUCUCGAGAGGAUAUCGUCCUGGAUAAGGGUGGAGCCUACGCCCAAAAACAAGAUUACCUGAAAGAGAAAAGAAAGGGGGAAAACACACAGAGAUACAGUCGGGGAGGCCACAUGAAGAUGGAGGCAGAGACAGGAGUGAUGAGCCUGCAAGCCAAGGAAUGCCAAGGGCUGCCAGCAGCCAUGAGAAGCUGAGAGACACAGAGAACGAGUCCUCUGCCAGAGCCUCCAGAAGGAACUAACCCUGUCAAUACCUUGAUUUCGGACUUCUGGACUCCAGAACUAUAACCCUCCUUCCUCCACCUCACAAAAACUCACAAGCUGCAACCCUUCUGAUGUCCACUCCCACACAAACCAGCUUCAGGCCUUUUUCAAGUGGAUGCUGUGGGGCACCACCUCCUUGAGGACCAAGGCACUCCAGCUGCCAGGAAUUUGGCUGCUAACCUCACACAGCUGAGCCUUCCAUGAAAAUUGCUCUCUGCCAAAGAGAACUUCCUAGUCCAAGGUCAUGUCUACUCUCCAGAGAUGUGACUGGAGUGAUUUGCACCCGGAUGCCUAGACUCGCCAUCUGCUCAAAGACUGCUCAGAAAGCCCUCCCAUGCAUUCCCCUGCUGCAUACCAGCCCACUCUGCCUGCAGCUGCUGUCUGCAGGACUUCAUAUCUAUGCCACACUGUGUAAAAGCUGUGCUUCAAGAAAUCACAAAAACAUUUUCCUGCACCUACUACACAGCCUGAGUGCGGCAUAAGUUGACCUUGCUUGCUAAGAAAUGGGGCAAGAAAUGCUUUUUUGUGUGUGUCAUGUCUGUUUGUUUUUCAAUUAAGAGAGGAAAGCAUUAGGCAGAUGGAAUGUACAUGUGAGGAUGAGGAGACAGAAAACAAGUAGCCCUUUCCAUCAAGAUAGAGGGUUUUCUGGGGUUGCUGGCUAUUGAAUGUCACUCCUGAUUUCUCUUUCCAAGGCACUGUACCACCAGCCUACUGAGAUUGUGUGGGAGCUUUCAUGGGGGUUGUAUUUCACUG